GACGAACGCUGGCGGCGUGCCUAACACAUGCAAGUCGAGCGAAUGAAGUUCCUUCGGGAAUGGAUUUAGCGGCGGACGGGUGAGUAACACGUGGGCAACCUGCCUCAUAGAGGGGAAUAGCCUUCCGAAAGGGAGAUUAAUACCGCAUAAGAUUGUAGUAUCGCAUGAUACAGCAAUUAAAGGAGCAAUCCGCUAUGAGAUGGGCCCGCGGCGCAUUAGCUAGUUGGUGAGGUAACGGCUCACCAAGGCGACGAUGCGUAGCCGACCUGAGAGGGUGAUCGGCCACAUUGGGACUGGGACACGGCCCAGACUCCUACAGGAGGCAGCAGUGGGGAAUAUUGCACAAUGGGGGAAACCCUGAUGCAGCAACGCCGCGUGAGUGAUGACGGCCUUCGGGUUGUAAAGCUCUGUCUUCAGGGACGAUAAUGACGGUACCUGAGGAGGAAGCCACGGCUAACUACGUG
Molecule: ribosomal RNA, 464 nt
Filed under: uncultured bacterium
Lineage: Bacteria
Description: partial 16S ribosomal RNA
Rfam family: Bacterial small subunit ribosomal RNA
Source: RNAcentral